Molecule: ribosomal RNA, 460 nt
Filed under: uncultured bacterium
Lineage: Bacteria
Description: partial 16S ribosomal RNA
Rfam family: Bacterial small subunit ribosomal RNA
Source: RNAcentral
CCUACGGGAGGCAGCAGUGAGGAAUAUUGGUCAAUGGACGAGAGUCUGAACCAGCCAAGUAGCGUGAAGGAUGACUGCCCUAUGGGUUGUAAACUUCUUUUAUAUGGGAAUAAAAUGUUCCACGUGUGGGCUUUUGUAUGUACCAUAUGAAUAAGGAUCGGCUAACUCCGUGCCAGCAGCCGCGGUAAUACGGAGGAUCCGAGCGUUAUCCGGAUUUAUUGGGUUUAAAGGGAGCGUAGGUGGAUUGUUAAGUCAGUUGUGAAAGUUUGUGGCUCAAACGUAAAAUUGCAGUUGAAACUGGCAGUCUUGAGUACAGUAGAGGUGGGCGGAAUUCGUGGUGUAGCGGUGAAAUGCUUAGAUAUCACGAAGAACUCCGAUUGCGAAGGCAGCUCACUGGACUGCAACUGACACUGAGGCUCGAAAGUGUGGGUAUCAAACAGGAUUAGAUACCCCUGUAGUC